AACCCUUUUAAAUUUAGUCCUGUGAGGCUGACAAAGGGGAAUAUGCCAACAUGAGACUUCAUUAAGGCAUUUCCAUACCCUCUUUGUACCCUUACCGGCAAAGAGGGUUUUUUUUAU
This is a non-coding RNA of Bacillus sp. OV166, 117 nucleotides long. The record is from Rfam. NCBI's taxonomy places the organism in Bacteria, Bacillati, Bacillota, Bacilli, Caryophanales, Bacillaceae.